Molecule: ribosomal RNA, 446 nt
Filed under: uncultured bacterium
Lineage: Bacteria
Description: partial 16S ribosomal RNA
Rfam family: Bacterial small subunit ribosomal RNA
Source: RNAcentral
CCUACGGGCGGCAGCAGUCGAGAAUCAUUCACAAUGGGGGAAACCCUGAUGGUGCGACGCCGCGUGGGGGAAUGAAGGUCUUCGGAUUGUAAACCCCUGUCAUGUGGGAGCAAAUUAAAAAGAUAGUACCACAAGAGGAAGAGACGGCUAACUCUGUGCCAGCAGCCGCGGUAAUACAGAGGUCUCAAGCGUUGUUCGGAAUCACUGGGCGUAAAGCGUGCGUAGGCUGUUUCGUAAGUCGUGUGUGAAAGGCGCGGGCCCAACCCGCGGACGGCACAUGAUACUGCGAGACUAGAGUAAUGGAGGGGGAAGCGGAAUUCGCGGUGUAGCAGUGAAAUGCGUAGAUAUCGAGAGGAACACUCGUGGCGAAGGCGGGUUCCUGGACAUUAACUGACGCUGAGGCACGAAGGCCAGGGGAGCGAAAGGGAUUAGAUACCCCUGUAGUC